UACGUAGGGUGCAAGCGUUGUCCGGAAUUAUUGGGCGUAAAGAGCUUGUAGGCGGUUUGUCGCGUCUGCUGUGAAAUUUCGGGGCUCAACCCCGAACUUGCAGUGGGUACGGGCAGACUAGAGUGUGGUAGGGGAGACUGGAAUUCCUGGUGUAGCGGUGAAAUGCGCAGAUAUCAGGAGGAACACCGAUGGCGAAGGCGGCUACCUGGACCGGUUCUGACGCUGAUGCGCGAAAGCGUGGGUAGCAAACAGG
This 253-nucleotide ribosomal RNA is filed under the name uncultured bacterium. RNAcentral's name for it is "partial 16S ribosomal RNA". It matches the Rfam family "Bacterial small subunit ribosomal RNA", at positions 524 to 776 of the family's 1533-position model. The record is from RNAcentral.